CCUACGGGUGGCUGCAGUGAGGAAUAUUGGUCAAUGGACGAGAGUCUGAACCAGCCAAGUAGCGUGAAGGAUGACUGCCCUAUGGGUUGUAAACUUCUUUUAUAUGGGAAUAACAUGUUCUACGUGUGGGAUUUUGUAUGGUCCAUAUGAAUAAGGAUCGGCUAACUUCGUGCCAGCAGCCGCGGUAAUACGGAGGAUCCGGGAGUUAUCCGGAUUUAUUGGGGUUAAAGGGAGCGUAGGUGGAUUGUUAAGUCAGUUGUGAAAGUUUGCGGCUCAACCGUAAAAUUGCAGUUGAAACUGGCAGUCUUGAGUACAGUAGAGGUAGGCGGAAUGCGUGGUGUAGCGGUGAAAUGCUUAGAUAUCACGAAGAACUCCGAUUGCGAAGGCAGUUCACUGGACUGCAACUGACGCUGAGGCUCGAAAGUGUGGGUAUCAAACAGGAUUAGAUACCCGUGUAGUC
RNAcentral lists this ribosomal RNA (460 nucleotides) under uncultured bacterium. RNAcentral describes it as "partial 16S ribosomal RNA". It matches the Rfam family "Bacterial small subunit ribosomal RNA", at positions 338 to 795 of the family's 1533-position model. The record is from RNAcentral.